CUACGUGCCAGCAGCCGCGGUAAUACGGAAGGUCCAGGCGUUAUCCGGAUUUAUUGGGUUUAAAGGGAGCGUAGACGGACGAUUAAGUCAGCUGUGAAAGUUUGCGGCUCAACCGUAAAAUUGCAGUUGAAACUGGUUGUCUUGAGUGCACGCAGGGAUGUUGGAAUUCAUGGUGUAGCGGUGAAAUGCUUAGGUAUCAUGAAGAACUCCGAUCGCGAAGGCAUAUGUCCGGAGUGCAACUGACGCUGAGGCUCGAAAGUGCGGGUAUCGAACAGGAUUAGAUACCCUGGUAGUCCGCACAGUAAACGAUGAAUACUCGCAGUAUGCGAUAUAAUGUAUGCUGCCAAGUGAAAACGUUAAGUAUUCCACCUGGGGAGUACGCCGGCAACGGUGAAACUCAAAGGAAUUGACGGGGGCCCGCACAAGCGGAGGAACAUGUGGUUUAAUUCGAUGAUACGCGAGGAACCUUACCCGGGCUUGAAC
RNAcentral lists this ribosomal RNA (483 nucleotides) under uncultured bacterium. RNAcentral describes it as "bacterial SSU rRNA". It matches the Rfam family "Bacterial small subunit ribosomal RNA", at positions 501 to 986 of the family's 1533-position model. The record is from RNAcentral.